This 1192-nucleotide ribosomal RNA is filed under the name Escherichia coli. RNAcentral's name for it is "partial 23S ribosomal RNA". It matches the Rfam family "Bacterial large subunit ribosomal RNA", at positions 582 to 1776 of the family's 2925-position model. The record is from RNAcentral. Lineage: Bacteria; Pseudomonadati; Pseudomonadota; Gammaproteobacteria; Enterobacterales; Enterobacteriaceae.
CGCUUCGGCGUGUGACUGCGUACCUUUUGUAUAAUGGGUCAGCGACUUAUAUUCUGUAGCAAGGUUAACCGAAUAGGGGAGCCGAAGGGAAACCGAGUCUUAACUGGGCGUUAAGUUGCAGGGUAUAGACCCGAAACCCGGUGAUCUAGCCAUGGGCAGGUUGAAGGUUGGGUAACACUAACUGGAGGACCGAACCGACUAAUGUUGAAAAAUUAGCGGAUGACUUGUGGCUGGGGGUGAAAGGCCAAUCAAACCGGGAGAUAGCUGGUUCUCCCCGAAAGCUAUUUAGGUAGCGCCUCGUGAAUUCAUCUCCGGGGGUAGAGCACUGUUUCGGCAAGGGGGUCAUCCCGACUUACCAACCCGAUGCAAACUGCGAAUACCGGAGAAUGUUAUCACGGGAGACACACGGCGGGUGCUAACGUCCGUCGUGAAGAGGGAAACAACCCAGACCGCCAGCUAAGGUCCCAAAGUCAUGGUUAAGUGGGAAACGAUGUGGGAAGGCCCAGACAGCCAGGAUGUUGGCUUAGAAGCAGCCAUCAUUUAAAGAAAGCGUAAUAGCUCACUGGUCGAGUCGGCCUGCGCGGAAGAUGUAACGGGGCUAAACCAUGCACCGAAGCUGCGGCAGCGACACUAUGUGUUGUUGGGUAGGGGAGCGUUCUGUAAGCCUGUGAAGGUGUACUGUGAGGUAUGCUGGAGGUAUCAGAAGUGCGAAUGCUGACAUAAGUAACGAUAAAGCGGGUGAAAAGCCCGCUCGCCGGAAGACCAAGGGUUCCUGUCCAACGUUAAUCGGGGCAGGGUGAGUCGACCCCUAAGGCGAGGCCGAAAGGCGUAGUCGAUGGGAAACAGGUUAAUAUUCCUGUACUUGGUGUUACUGCGAAGGGGGGACGGAGAAGGCUAUGUUGGCCGGGCGACGGUUGUCCCGGUUUAAGCGUGUAGGCUGGUUUUCCAGGCAAAUCCGGAAAAUCAAGGCUGAGGCGUGAUGACGAGGCACUACGGUGCUGAAGCAACAAAUGCCCUGCUUCCAGGAAAAGCCUCUAAGCAUCAGGUAACAUCAAAUCGUACCCCAAACCGACACAGGUGGUCAGGUAGAGAAUACCAAGGCGCUUGAGAGAACUCGGGUGAAGGAACUAGGCAAAAUGGUGCCGUAACUUCGGGAGAAGGCACGCUGAUAUGUAGGUGAAGUCCCUCGCGG